This is a long non-coding RNA of Neopelma chrysocephalum (saffron-crested tyrant-manakin), 475 nucleotides long. RefSeq lists it as uncharacterized. Lineage: Eukaryota; Metazoa; Chordata; Aves; Passeriformes; Pipridae. The transcript is spliced from 3 exons. The record is from RefSeq and is a predicted model, not a curated record.
GCGGGGGGGACAUCGCGUCCCUUUUGGGGACACCUGGGACGCGUGGGAGAGGCAAAGGAGGAUGCAAUAAAAACAAACUAAUUUCUUGAAGGAAUCAUAAGUAUGAAUAUUCAUAAAAGACUUAAGACAGAAGCCAUGGUAAUUUCUUCCACAAGUUUUCAUUUGAAGGAGAUAAACCCGAAGACCUGUAAUACCUGACGCUGUGUACGUGCAACAGCUACAGGAUAUUUGACUUAAAUACUGAACAACCAAAUAUAUUCCAGGAGGAGCAGCUGGAACGUUUCAAGAAAGAAUUUCCACAGUCAGCCAUUUAAAUCCAUAUCUCCACAUAAAUGUCAUGUAGUUGCCUGGAAGAGAAAUCUGUAGAUAACUUGAAGAGUGUUCAAAUGCAGAAGGAUUAAUUGCUGACAAGCUGUACCAGUUCUCUGACAAUGGGAAAUUAAGAGAGUGAUCGCAAGAUACAUAUAAAUAGAUC